UGAUACGUAGGGUGCGAGCGUUGUCCGGAAUUAUUGGGCGUAAAGAGCUUGUAGGCGGUCCGUUGCGUCGGAAGUGAAAACUCGGGGCUUAACCCCGAGCCUGCUUUCGAUACGGGCGGACUUGAGGGAUGUAGGGGAGAACGGAAUUCCUGGUGGAGCGGUGGAAUGCGCAGAUAUCAGGAGGAACACCAGUGGCGAAGGCGGUUCUCUGGACAUUUCCUGACGCUGAGAAGCGAAAGCGUGGGGAGCAAACAGGCUUAGAUACCCUGGUAGUCCACGCCGUAAACGGUGGGCACUAGGUGUGGGACCCAUUCCACGGGUUCCGUGCCGUAGCUAACGCAUUAAGUGCCCCGCCUGGGGAGUACGGCCGCAAGGCUAAAACUCAAAUGAAUUGACGG
Molecule: ribosomal RNA, 398 nt
Filed under: bacterium enrichment culture
Lineage: Bacteria
Description: bacterial SSU rRNA
Rfam family: Bacterial small subunit ribosomal RNA
Source: RNAcentral